AUCCAGCUAAUGAGUCUCAGAUAGGAUGAGACGCGCGUCCUGGAU
This 45-nucleotide non-coding RNA is filed under the name Schistosoma mattheei. Lineage: Eukaryota; Metazoa; Platyhelminthes; Trematoda; Strigeidida; Schistosomatidae. The record is from RNAcentral.